GAUGAAGAACGCAGCAAAAUGCGAUAAGUAAUGUGAAUUGCAGAAUUCAGUGAAUCAUCGAAUCUUUGAACGCACAUUGCGCCCGCUGGUAUUCCGGCGGGCAUGCCUGUUCGAGCGUCAUUUCAACCCUCAAGCCCCCGGGUUUGGUGUUGGGGAUCGGCUCUGCCCUUCUGGGCGGUGCCGCCCCCGAAAUACAUUCGCGGUCUCGCUGCAGCCUCCAUUGCGUAGUAGCUAACACCUCGCAACUGGAACGCGGCGCGGCCAUGCCGUAAAACCCCAACUUCUGAAUGUUGACCUCGGAUCAGGUAGGAAUACCCGCUGAACUUAAGCAUAUCAAUAAGCGGAGGA
This 348-nucleotide unclassified non-coding RNA is filed under the name soil metagenome. RNAcentral's name for it is "partial contains 5.8S ribosomal RNA, internal transcribed spacer 2, and large subunit ribosomal RNA". The stretch from base 1 to 120 matches the Rfam family "5.8S ribosomal RNA", at positions 35 to 154 of the family's 154-position model. The record is from RNAcentral.